GUGAAUCAUCGAAUCUUUGAACGCACAUUGCGCCCGCCGGUAUCCCGGCGGGCAUGCCUGUUCGAGCGUCAUUUCAACCCUCAGGCUCCGCCUGGUGUUGGGGCUCCUGCGCACUGCAGGCCCUCAAAGGCAGCGGCGGGUGCGCCUACGAACCGAACGCAGUAGUUUUCUCUCGUUCUGGUCGCGCAGGCGUACUCCAGCCGGUAAACCCCUUACUUUUACAAUGGUUGACCUCGGAUCAGGUAGGAAUACCCGCUGAACUUAAGCAUAUCAAUAAGCGGAGGA
RNAcentral lists this unclassified non-coding RNA (285 nucleotides) under Thozetella sp. RNAcentral's name for it is "partial contains 5.8S ribosomal RNA, internal transcribed spacer 2, and large subunit ribosomal RNA". The stretch from base 1 to 71 matches the Rfam family "5.8S ribosomal RNA", at positions 84 to 154 of the family's 154-position model. The record is from RNAcentral. Lineage: Eukaryota; Fungi; Ascomycota; Sordariomycetes; Chaetosphaeriales; Chaetosphaeriaceae.